GGGGAAUCUUGGACAAUGGGCGCAAGCCUGAUCCAGCCAUGCCGCGUGAGUGAAGAAGGCCUUAGGGUUGUAAAACUCUUUCGCCGGAGAAGAUAAUGACGGUAUCCGGAGAAGAAGCCCCGGCUAACUUCGUGCCAGCAGCCGCGGUAAUACGAAGGGGGCUAGCGUUGUUCGGAAUUACUGGGCGUAAAGCGCACGUAGGCGGGUUUGUAAGUAGGGGGUGAAAUCCCAGGGCUCAACCCUGGAACUGCCUUCUAGACUGCAAGCCUGGAGGUCAGGAGAGGCGAGUGGAAUACCGAGUGUAGAGGUGAAAUUCGUAGAUAUUCGGUGGAACACCAGUGGCGAAGGCGACUCGCUGGACUGAUACUGACGCUGAGGUGCGAAAGCGUGGGGAGCAAAC
This 400-nucleotide ribosomal RNA is filed under the name uncultured bacterium. RNAcentral describes it as "bacterial SSU rRNA". It matches the Rfam family "Bacterial small subunit ribosomal RNA", at positions 356 to 773 of the family's 1533-position model. The record is from RNAcentral.